Molecule: long non-coding RNA, 2962 nt
Filed under: Balaenoptera musculus (blue whale)
Lineage: Eukaryota; Metazoa; Chordata; Mammalia; Artiodactyla; Balaenopteridae
Description: lncRNA (ENSBMSG00010012310.1)
Source: RNAcentral
GACUUGGAUCCCGCCCCUUCCGGCCGCUGGGGUGGGGGUUGCUGCAAGGCGCUUCGCAGCGAGUCCGAGCUAGCGCGCCAUCCCGGCGGCGGCUUCUGGGGUCUGCAUCGCCGCGUCCUCGCCAGCCGUCCCAGCUUUUCACGUCCGGUCUGACCUCGAGGCGGGGCCCACCAAGAAUCCCGUGGCCGUUUCCUAACCGAUGGGGUUAAGGGGAAAACGCGCCGGAAAAGGGCAGCCGGCCGUGUUCGCCGUUGUGUCGGUCACAGCGACGUUGGGCGGUUUGUAAGCGUGUGGACGGAGCUGUCGCCAGGAGCGGCGGACAAGCCGAGGGCCGGGCCCGCCGACGGACCCAGGCGAUAUCCUCCCGGAAGAGCCGACUCUAGCCGGUCGUCGUGAGACACUUUGGGGUUUUAAUGAGGAAUUUUGCCGAAGGAGACCAACGGGCUCGUGAGGGCGUCCGGCAGAUGACGGAGCUGAAGUUGGAUGGGAUUGGGGAAGACACUGGGAGGAGGCUUUCCCGGCAGAGGAAACCGGCUCCUGUUACUGUGCAGCGUCUCCAGAAAAGCCCACUCAAAAUGAAACCCUGAGAAUCGAUUUCCUUCCUACUAGGCAAGGCGGUCCCCAGGCCAGUGUGCCACGGCCUUUCUGGGUGCUCAAGGGCACCGGACUCCCACCCAACUGUCCCCAAGAAAAGCUCGGAAGACCCAGCGUGGGGGAAUGAAGAGUCCUUGUGUGAAUCCAGGUCGGCAGGGUCCCAGAUUAUAGUUCAGGCCUUGGCAACAUCUUACUUCAUUCCCUGCGGGAUGCAGCCAGUACAGCUGCUCUGCCAGGGAUGGUUUUAACAGCGCUGCAUGAUCGGCCCCUUCCUACCUGUCUGGAGUAUCCUUGCCCUGAAUCCUGUGUUUCACACACUCAGGAUUGCUUGCUAUUUCUAAUUUUGUGCCUCCCUGCCUUGGUCCUUAUUGUUCCUUCUCUCUGUGAUAAUGCUUUCCUUCACCUCCACUUGGUCAAACCGGUUUUAUCAUUCAGGACCCACUUCAUUUGCUGAAAAUCCUUCCCCUAAUUUCACAAGCAGGACAUCUUCCUUGUGUCUAAGGCACUUUCACUGGAGCUAUUUGUGUUCCGUGCCAACUGAAAACAGCCAGGAACAUGGCUGUACAAGAAAAUAAUAAAAGGUUAGGUUUAUUCAACUUGCUGCAGCAAAGGAAUGCACCAGAGGACACGUGAGUCUCCUCAAAACAGGGGUGUUAUGGAAGGGUCCUCGAGGGGUGUGGGGCUGUAGUUGGCCAUAGAUGGUCUUGGCAAGGAUGGGUCAGAAUUUGUAAUCAGGAGAGCCACUGGAGGGGUCAGUGGUUUUGUCUUGGAGCACGUACUCUGCAUGAGCUGAGUCACGUGUGUUGCACAGCAUGGUUUAGUCCUGUUUUUCUGUUUGGGUGUCAUGGUCAGGCCCACUUUGCUAGCUGUGGUUUCUUUCCUUCUCAGUCCCCCCACCCACCCUCCAGCAUAGCUGCCACCCCGUUCCUGGCAGGGGGAUGGGACCACUAUGAUUGGUUAGAUCAGGUCCCUGAACCUCAGUGGUGUUGACAGUUUGGGCCAGAUAAUUCCUUGGAGGGAAGGGAGAGGGAGGAGCUGGCCUGUGCACUGUAGGAUGUUUAGCAGCGUCCCUGGCCUCCACCCACUAGAUGCCAGCAGCAUCCCACCUAGUCGUGAAAAUCAGUAACGUCUCCAGGCCUUACCAAGUGUCCCAUGGGUUAGACCAACCAGAACCCACUCCCCCUCACCCUGAGCCUGUUCCAGCGGUGCUGCUUCCCAGUCACUUGUUUUUAAGUCACCUGUGCCAGGAGGACCGUCCCAGGGGUUAGAUGCCAUAAUCAGAGUCUUGAGGCCUUCACAGUGUCGGCAACUGGACUGAAAGGCAUGACAUGAGGGUGAAAAUAAACACGUUUGCCAGACAGCAGUGGCAAGUGCCCCAGCUGGUCACUGUGAUUCGUGUUGCCCCAGGAUGCUGUCCCUCUUUAAGACAGGGGUUCUCAACUUUAGCUGCAUAUUAGAAUCAUCCAGGAAGCUUUGAAAUAUCCUGAUGCCUCAGUCCCAUCCCAGAAAUUCCAAUGUAAUCUGUCUGGGUUGUGGCUUGGGCAUGGGUAGUUUUAAAGGGUCUCCAGACACUUUUUUUUUUUUUUUUUUUUUUUUUUUGGCUGUGUUGGGUCUUAGUUGCAGCACGCAGGAUCUUCAUUGCGGCAUGUGGGAUCUUUCACUGAGGCGCACGGGCUCUCUUUGUUGUGGCGCACGGGCUUCUCUCUAGUUGUGGUGCACGGGCUCCAGAGCACGCGGGCUUUCUAGUUGAGGCGCAUGGGCUCUCUAGUUGAGGCGCGCCGGCUUAGUUGCCCCGCGGCAUGUGGGAUCUUAGUUCCCCGACCAGGGAUUGAACCCUCUUCCCCUGCAUUAGAAGGCGGAUUCUUUACUACCAGGGAAGUCCCUCCGCAGACACUUUUAAAAGCCGAAGUCGAGCAUCACUGCUUAGAGAAGAAAUAAGAAAUAAAGACAUAUAUACAGCAUUCCAGUUUGAGGGGGACAGGGGUCUGAGUCCAGUGUCCCUAAGAUUGGAGACCAAGAGAAUCACCCCACCACCACUUUGCUUUGGGAGCCUCAGAGACUGCUUGCGGAAAACAUGUGAGAGGCAGCUCUGUGCCACGAGGGGCUGGGGGUGCUCAGGCAUGACCCUGAGGGCUUGGGACCGGAGGGGCUGUGACUUGUCAGUGGGAACACAGAUUAUGAUGAGGAACGGGCUGGGUGGCUUCCCACACGCAGGCAGUGUUUCCUAUCAUGACCUUGACGGGAGUUACCUGGGUGUUUGUUUAUGUCAAUUUGUUAAGCUGUACAUUUAUGUUUUGUAUACCUUUCUAUAUAUGUUUGUUAUAUUUCAUCCCCAAAAAUGUCUGAAAGAAAGCUGUUGCCUAGUUUG